CAUUGUACAGAUCCGAAUGGACUGUCUGUGUUUGUCUUCUGUUCAGUAUUGUCGCAUUUUUCAGUAAUGUGCGUCAACAGCUGUUGGGACCAGGCGAGAAGCCCCGCAAGAAGGUAGCUGGCUCCGGCUAGUGUUAUAGCUUGUGGUGUGCAAGUUUGGGCUCGACAGAGGAGUCGCGGCACAUGCUCUUUUGGGCUGGCACUUCUCUCCUCAGUUCGCUUGUGACCAUAACGGACUGCACGCAGUGCGUUUGAACUGCAGAGGGCUGUCGGGGGGAAUGUUGCAAAUUAUGUGCCAAGGUUGUUGGCGGUCAUAUGAUUUCAUACGACCCGUCUUGAAACACGGACCAAGGAGUCUAACAUGUGUGCGAGUCUUAGGGUGAUAGAAACCCGCAGGCACAAUGAAAGUAAAGGCUGCUUGCAGCUGAAGUGAGAUCUCCUCUUAAGGGGGGCGCAUCAUUGACCGACCUAUUCUACUCCUAGAAAGGUUUGAGUAAGAGCACAUCUGUUGGGACCCGAAAGAUGGUGAACUAUGCUUGAGUAGGGCGAAGCCAGAGGAAACUCUGGUGGAGGCUCGUAGCGAUUCUGACGUGCAAAUCGAUCGUCAAACUUGAGUAUAGGGGCGAAAGACUAAUCGAACCAUCUAGUAGCUGGUUCCCUCCGAAGUUUCCCUUAGGAUAGCUGGAACUCGGAACAGUUUUAUCAGGUAAAGCGAAUGAUUAGAGGUCUUAGGGUUGAAACAACCUUAACCUAUUCUCAAACUUUAAAUUGGUAAGAAGCCCGACUUGCUUAAUUGAAGUAGGGCACAGAAUGAGAGUUCUUAGUGGGCCAUUUUUGGUAAGCAGAACUGGCGAUGCGGGAUGAACCGAACGCUGAGUUAAGGCGCCUAAAUCGACGCUCAUCAGACCCCACAAAAGGUGUUGGUUGAUCUAGACAGCAGGACGGUGGCCAUGGAAGUCGGAAUCCGCUAAGGAGUGUGUAACAACACACCUGCCGAAUCAACUAGCCCUGAAAAUGGAUGGCGCUCAAGCGUCGUGCCUAUACUCAGCCGUCAGAGUAAAUAGCGAAGCUCUGACGAGUAGGAGGGCGUGGGGGUCGUGGUGAAGCCUUUGGCGUGAGCCUGGGUGAAACGGCCUCUAGUGCAGAUCUUGGUGGUAGUAGCAAAUAUUCAAAUGAGAACUUUGAAGACCGAAGUGGAGAAAGGUUCCAUGUGAACAGCAGUUGGACAUGGGUUAGUCGAUCCUAAGAGAUAGGGAAACUCCGUUUCAAAGUGCCCAAUCUUGGGCCGUUUAUCGAAAGGGAAUCGGGUUAAUAUUCCCGAACCGGAACGUGGAUAUUCUGGUCCUUCUGGGCCAGAUUUGCGGUAACGCAACUGAACUCGGAGACGUCGGCAAGAGCCCUGGGAAGAGUUCUCUUUUCUUGUUAACGACUUGACACCAUGGAAUCUGAUUGCCAGGAGAUAUGGUUUAAUGGUCGGUAAAGCACCACACUUCUUGUGGUGUCCGGUGCGCUCUUGAAGGCCCUUGAAAAUCCGAGGGAAAGAUUGAUUUUCACGUCCGUUCGUACUCAUAACCGCAGCAGGUCUCCUAGGUGAGCAGCCUCUGGUCGAUAGAACAAUGUAGGUAAGG
RNAcentral lists this ribosomal RNA (1627 nucleotides) under Zanclea gallii. Its description in RNAcentral is "eukaryotic LSU rRNA". It matches the Rfam family "Eukaryotic large subunit ribosomal RNA", at positions 435 to 1909 of the family's 3401-position model. Lineage: Eukaryota; Metazoa; Cnidaria; Hydrozoa; Anthoathecata; Zancleidae. The record is from RNAcentral.